CGGGGCGUAGUGUAACGGCUAGCACGAGUCCUUUGGGAGGAUUUACUCCGGGUUCGAAUCCCGGCGCCCCGA
Molecule: non-coding RNA, 72 nt
Organism: Parcubacteria group bacterium CG1_02_44_65
Lineage: Bacteria
Source: Rfam